This 425-nucleotide ribosomal RNA is filed under the name uncultured bacterium. RNAcentral's name for it is "partial 16S ribosomal RNA". It matches the Rfam family "Bacterial small subunit ribosomal RNA", at positions 354 to 796 of the family's 1533-position model. The record is from RNAcentral.
GUGGGGAAUAUUGGGCAAUGGGCGAAAGCCUGACCCAGCAACGCCGCGGGAAGGAAGAAGGUUUUCGGAUCGUAAACUUCUAUCCUUGGUGAAGAUAAUGACGGUAGCCAAGAAGGAAGCCCCGGCUAACUACGUGCCAGCAGCCGCGGUAAUACGUAGGGGGCAAGCGUUGUCCGGAAUGAUUGGGCGUAAAGGGCGCGUAGGCGGCCCGGUAAGUCUGAAGUGAAAGUCCUGCUUUUAAGGUGGGAAUUGCUUUGGAUACUGUCGGGCUUGAGUGCAGGAGAGGUAAGCGGAAAUCCCGGUGUAGCGGUGAAAUGCGUAGAGAUCGGGAGGAACACCAGUGGCGAAGGCGGCUUACUGGACUGUAACUGACGCUGAGGCGCGAAAGUGUGGGGAGCAAACAGGAUUAGAAACCCCGGUAGUCC